GACGAACGCUGGCGGCGUGCCUAAUACAUGCAAGUUGAGCGCUGAAGGUUGGUACUUGUACCAACUGGAUGAGCAGCGAACGGGUGAGUAACGCGUGGGGAAUCUGCCUUUGAGCGGGGGACAACAUUUGGAAACGAAUGCUAAUACCGCAUAAAAACUUUAAACACAAGUUUUAAGUUUGAAAGAUGCAAUUGCAUCACUCAAAGAUGAUCCCGCGUUGUAUUAGCUAGUUGGUGAGGUAAAGGCUCACCAAGGCGAUGAUACAUAGCCGACCUGAGAGGGUGAGCGGCCACAUUGGGACUGAGACACGGCCCAACCUCCUACGGGAGGCAGCAGUAGGGAAUCUUCGGCAAUGGACGAAAGUCUGACCGAGCAACGCCGCGUGAGUGAAGAAGGUUUUCGGAUCGUAAAACUCUGUUGGUAGAGAAGAACGUUGGUGAGAGUGGAAAGCUCAUCAAGUGACGGUAACUACCCAGAAAGGGACGGCUAACUACGUG
This 497-nucleotide ribosomal RNA is filed under the name uncultured bacterium. RNAcentral's name for it is "partial 16S ribosomal RNA". It matches the Rfam family "Bacterial small subunit ribosomal RNA", at positions 28 to 507 of the family's 1533-position model. The record is from RNAcentral.